RNAcentral lists this ribosomal RNA (301 nucleotides) under uncultured bacterium. Its description in RNAcentral is "partial 16S ribosomal RNA". It matches the Rfam family "Bacterial small subunit ribosomal RNA", at positions 509 to 807 of the family's 1533-position model. The record is from RNAcentral.
CAGCCGCCGCGGUAAUACGUAGGUGGCAAGCGUUGUCCGGAAUUAUUGGGCGUAAAGGGCUCGCAGGCGGUUUCUUAAGUCUGAUGUGAAGGCCCCCGGCUCAACCGGGGAGGGUCAUUGGAAACUGGGAAACUUGAGUGCAGAAGAGGAGAGUGGAAUUCCACGUGUAGCGGUGAAAUGCGUAGAGAUGUGGAGGAACACCAGUGGCGAAGGCGACUCUCUGGUCUGUAACUGACGCUGAGGAGCGAAAGCGUGGGGAGCAAACAGGAUUAGAGACCCGAGUAGUCCCUGUCUCUUAUAC